RNAcentral lists this ribosomal RNA (252 nucleotides) under uncultured bacterium. RNAcentral describes it as "partial 16S ribosomal RNA". It matches the Rfam family "Bacterial small subunit ribosomal RNA", at positions 524 to 776 of the family's 1533-position model. The record is from RNAcentral.
UACGGAGGAUGCGAGCGUUAUCCGGAUUUAUUGGGUUUAAAGGGUGCGUAGGCGGACUGUUAAGUCAGCGGUCAAAUGUCGGGGCUCAACCCCGGCCUGCCGUUGAAACUGGCGGCCUCGAGUGGGCGAGAAGUAUGCGGAAUGCGUGGUGUAGCGGUGAAAUGCAUAGAUAUCACGCAGAACUCCGAUUGCGAAGGCAGCAUACCGGCGCCCGACUGACGCUGAGGCACGAAAGCGUGGGUAUCGAACAGG